AUACGGAGGAUCCGAGCGUUAUCCGGAUUUAUUGGGUUUAAAGGGUGCGCAGGCGGCCAUUUAAGUCAGCGGUUAAAUCGUGGGGCUCAACCCCAUUCUGCCGUUGAUACUGGGUGGCUUGAUUGCGGUCGAGGUUGGCGGAAUUCGUUGUGUAGCGGUGAAGUGCAUAGAUAUGACGAAGAACACCGAUUGCGUAGGCAGCUGACCAGACCGCAAAUGACGCUCAUGCACGAAAGUGCGGGGAUCGAACAUGAUUAGAUCCGCUGGUAGUCCGCACAGUAAACGAUGAAUACUGGUUUUCGGCGAUAUAAUGUCGGAGGUAAAGCGAAAGCGAUAAGUAUUCCACCUGGGGAGUACGCCGGCAACGGUGAAACUCAAAUGAAUUGACGGGG
Molecule: ribosomal RNA, 392 nt
Filed under: uncultured bacterium
Lineage: Bacteria
Description: partial 16S ribosomal RNA
Rfam family: Bacterial small subunit ribosomal RNA
Source: RNAcentral